GACCCCCCCGCGGGAUGCACCUGAGCCGCGAGGACGUGGCCGGGGUCACCGCCAACCCCGACCUGGGUGCCCUGGCGCUGCGGCAGCUCGACUGCCAGCUCGUCUCCCUCAAGCGCCAGGUAGCUGUGCCCCAAAUUUACAUGGGGGGGGACAAAAACACCCCAAAAACAUUGGGGAGCCCCCCCACGAUCGCUGUGUCCCCCCCCCCUGGCCGCGGUGGCAGUGCUUCAAGCAGAUCACAGCGGGCUGAGGCAGGCGCUGGAGGGCGGCGUGGAGGGCGUGGGGCCGCCCGAGCCCACCAGCAAAUUCAGCUCCCGCUGGACCACGGACGAGCAGCUGCUGGCGGUGCAGGGUGAGUGCACACCGGGGGGGGUAUCCCAAGAACGGGGGGGGUAUCCCGGGAAGGUGGGGGGCCCCCCCAUUAACCCGCUGCCCCCCCCCGUUAACCCAAUGUCCCCCCCUCACAGCCCUGCGGCGCUACGGCCGCGACUUCCCGGCGGUGGCUGCGGUGCUGGGCACCAAGACGGCGGCUCAGGUGCGGAGCUUCGUGGCCAGCGCCCGCCGCCGCUUCGGCCUUGACCGGGUCCUGCGCGAGUGGGAGGCCGAACGCAGCGGCGGCGGGGGCGUCCCCCCCCCCCCGCCACCCCCCCCCCCGGGAGAGGGGGGGGGUAAGGCGAGGGGGGGGGAGGGGGGGGCCCCCCCCCCCCCCUCGCCCGGUGCCUCCCCCCCACCGCCGCCGCCACCAACCCGCCGCCUCUCCCCGCAGGUGCAGAUCACGGCGGUGUCGGCGCCCCCCCCCGC
This 801-nucleotide long non-coding RNA is filed under the name Anas platyrhynchos platyrhynchos (common mallard). RNAcentral describes it as "lncRNA (ENSAPLG00000027898.1)". Lineage: Eukaryota; Metazoa; Chordata; Aves; Anseriformes; Anatidae. The record is from RNAcentral.